AUUGAACGCUGGCGGCAUGCUUUACACAUGCAAGUCGAACGGUAACAGGCCGCAAGGUGCUGACGAGUGGCGAACGGGUGAGUAAUGCAUCGGAACGUGCCCAGUCGUGGGGGAUAACUACUCGAAAGAGUAGCUAAUACCGCAUACGAUCUAUGGAUGAAAGCGGGGGACCGUAAGGCCUCGCGCGAUUGGAGCGGCCGAUGUCAGAUUAGGUAGUUGGUGGGGUAAAGGCUCACCAAGCCAACGAUCUGUAGCUGGUCUGAGAGGACGACCAGCCACACUGGGACUGAGACACGGCCCAGACUCCUACGGGAGGCAGCAGUGGGGAAUUUUGGACAAUGGGCGCAAGCCUGAUCCAGCAAUGCCGCGUGCAGGAAGAAGGCCUUCGGGUUGUAAACUGCUUUUGUACGGAACGAAACGGCUUUGGUUAAUACCCGGGGCUAAUGACGGUACCGUAAGAAUAAGCACCGGCUAACUACGUG
Molecule: ribosomal RNA, 482 nt
Filed under: uncultured bacterium
Lineage: Bacteria
Description: partial 16S ribosomal RNA
Rfam family: Bacterial small subunit ribosomal RNA
Source: RNAcentral